Molecule: ribosomal RNA, 227 nt
Filed under: uncultured bacterium
Lineage: Bacteria
Description: partial 16S ribosomal RNA
Rfam family: Bacterial small subunit ribosomal RNA
Source: RNAcentral
CGCGUAGGCGGUCUUGUCGGUCAGAUGUGAAAGCCCAGGGCUCAACCCUGGACGUGCAUUUGAAACAGCAAGACUUGAGUACGGGAGAGGAAAGCGGAAUUCCUGGUGUAGAGGUGAAAUUCGUAGAUAUCAGGAGGAACACCGAUGGCGAAGGCAGCUUUCUGGACCGAUACUGACGCUGAGGCGCGAGGCGUGGGUAGCGAACAGGAUUAGAUACCCUGUAGUCC